UACAGAGGGGGCAAGCGUUGUUCGGAAUUACUGGGCGUAAAGGGCGCGUAGGCGGCCUGUUAAGUCGAACGUGAAAUCCCCGGGCUCAACCCGGGAACUGCGUCCGAUACUGGCAGGCUUGAAUCCGGGAGAGGGAUGCGGAAUUCCAGGUGUAGCGGUGAAAUGCGUAGAUAUCCGGAGGAACACCAGCGGCGAAGGCGGCUUUCUGGUCCGAUUCUGACGCUGAGACGCGAAAGCGUGGGGAGCGAUCCGG
Molecule: ribosomal RNA, 253 nt
Filed under: uncultured bacterium
Lineage: Bacteria
Description: partial 16S ribosomal RNA
Rfam family: Bacterial small subunit ribosomal RNA
Source: RNAcentral